UACGUAGGGGGCUAGCGUUGUCCGGAAUCAUUGGGCGUAAAGAGCGUGUAGGCGGCCCGGUAAGUCCGCUGUGAAAGUCGGGGGCUCAACCCUCGAAUGCCGGUGGAUACUGUCGGGCUAGAGUGCGGAAGAGGCGAGUGGAAUUCCUGGUGUAGCGGUGAAAUGCGCAGAUAUCAGGAGGAACACCAAUUGCGAGGGCAGCUCGCUGGGACGUAACUGACGCUGAGACGCGAAAGCGUGGGGAGCAAACAGG
This 253-nucleotide ribosomal RNA is filed under the name uncultured bacterium. RNAcentral describes it as "partial 16S ribosomal RNA". It matches the Rfam family "Bacterial small subunit ribosomal RNA", at positions 524 to 776 of the family's 1533-position model. The record is from RNAcentral.